GCUCGGUGAUGAUGUAAAGGCUGAUGUGACUUCACCAGCUGGGUUGCACCCUCGGCCCAUUCCGGUCGUACGGGCCUGUAAUCUUGGCGGACAGUGCGGAGCUGUGCGUGUUCGCUGUAAGGGCAGGCCGACAGAAAAUCCCCUUCCUCGCGUCCUGGGAAAACGCACCUCUGGGACGCAGCAGCUCCGAGCGAGCGUCUGCGUGAGCUGAAGGGGGGGCUGCGGGGACAGGGCAGCACAGCAUUUCCAAGGUUUGGGUCGCAGGGGACAGCCCACGUUGCAGCUGGUGAGAUGUGAGCACAUGUCUUUGGUAAUCUGAUGGCU
This 324-nucleotide small nucleolar RNA is filed under the name Opisthocomus hoazin. Lineage: Eukaryota; Metazoa; Chordata; Aves; Opisthocomiformes; Opisthocomidae. The record is from RNAcentral.